UACGGACCAGCGUCACUCGAUUGCUCCACGGGCUUUCGCUCAGCUCGAUUACUCCAAGACGCAACAUUUCGUCGACUUCCGCAAACAACAGCUCCUGUAUCGUCGUCCUUCUCAAUCCGUGCUUGGCAAAACACCGAAAUUUGUCCUUCACCUGUUCCAUGCGUACUUGCUGCGACUGGGUUAAGUUAUGAGGUUCGGUCGGCCUACUUCUCGUCAGCAGUUCUGCCUCGAUCUCUUCUAAUUCCUCUUCUCGUUUCGCCAGAAAUUGACCCCCAGAUACAGUGAUUGCUUCAAUGACGGUCACAAGAAUAACUCCAUCGGGUGCUUCUGGCCUUUGUAUGCCAUCACUACCGUCACAUGGCCUAGGAUCUGAUGAGGUGUGCCGCCCGCAGUUUGUACCGAUAUUGUUUUCGCGUCUUUUAGCUUAAGCUUCAAUUCUUCAAUGAUCUCUAAUCCCCCUCUUCCCAGCAGGCUCACUGAUGCCCCCGUAUCGAGCAGUCCCAUCAGCGUCUUCGGGCUCACGUGCGCAAACGGCCCUCGUCCCGGCUUAAUGCGGA
This 557-nucleotide long non-coding RNA is filed under the name Drosophila guanche. The record is from RNAcentral. Lineage: Eukaryota; Metazoa; Arthropoda; Insecta; Diptera; Drosophilidae.